UUGAACGCUGGCGGAAUGCUUUACACAUGCAAGUCGGGCGGCAGCGCGGGGGCAACCCUGGCGGCGAGCGGCGAACGGGUGAGUAACAUAUCGGAACGUACCCAGACGUGGGGGACAACUAGUCGAAAGACUAGCUAAUACCGCAUACGUCCUGAGGGAGAAAGCGGGGGAUCGCAAGACCUCGCGCGUUUGGAGCGGCCGAUAUCUGAUUAGCUAGAUGGUGGGGUAAAGGCCCACCAUGGCGACGAUCAGUAGCCGGUCUGAGAGGAUGAUCAGCCACACUGGAACUGAGACACGGUCCAGACUCCUACGGGAGGCAGCAGUGGGGAAUUUUGGACAAUGGGGGAAACCCUGAUCCAGCCAAUCCGCGUGAGUGAAGAAGGCCUUCGGGUUGUAAAGCUCUUUCGGCAGGAACGAAACGGCGGAAUCUAAUACAUUCCACUAAUGACGGUACCUGAAGAAGAAGCACCGGCUAACUACGU
This 482-nucleotide ribosomal RNA is filed under the name uncultured bacterium. Its description in RNAcentral is "bacterial SSU rRNA". It matches the Rfam family "Bacterial small subunit ribosomal RNA", at positions 29 to 506 of the family's 1533-position model. The record is from RNAcentral.